Rattus norvegicus (Norway rat) is the source of this 2959-nucleotide non-coding RNA. Lineage: Eukaryota; Metazoa; Chordata; Mammalia; Rodentia; Muridae. The record is from RefSeq and is a predicted model, not a curated record.
GAAGUUGAGACGUAAAGGAGACAGUUAUGUGUCAAGGUCACCGCUAAUUGAUGGUGAGCAGGAUCUACACUGAGACAGACUGGUCACAGGCCCUGGCUGUGUCUCAGUCAGUUGGCAAGGAGACAUUCUCAAAUGCCACAUAACAAAGAACACAAAUCACGUCAUUUGUGCCUGACAGGAAGAUACUCAGGGGGAUUCAACAAACAUUUGUCGGCGAUGUUAAAGAGCGAUCACAACAUCAGCAAAGCUCAUAAACGCUGAAGAUGAAAGGAGAAAUGGCUGUCACUUAAAAAACAGAACCUGGCUCUUUAAUAACAAAAAGAGAGGGACAGAACUACAAUUCCUAUCUUUGCCAAAUAACCCCCACCCCCAGGCAAUGUUAUGAGGACAUUUUUAAUAACAGAGAAAGGCAAGUCAUAGGUGGACACAACCACCUUUGUGUUUUGCAAAACAACUCAACUUGGCAUUUAAUGGAGGCCGACUUAAUGGAAAUAUUGGUACAGUGAUUGUCAACACUGCAAAUUCUGCCAUGGAUGGAUGGGUGGGAGAAAAUGAAGGCAAACACCCAAUACCCGUCACAAUUUUAUAGAGGAAAAACCUUAUUUCUGACACCUUUUUCCCUCUUCGAGAAUGACUGAAAAAAACACAUUUCAGAAGACACAGCUGAAAAACCACUGUUCUCAUGCCCUAACCCCUGAUCUGACAGAUGGGGAUUCUGGAAGUCUCUAGCUCCCCUGAGUCUCCUUUCACCCUGAGCGUUUCUGCUGUUGCUCCAAUGUCAGAGCUGACUCUUCCUGUGGAGAUAUCUGCCUGGAGACUAGGCAGGUGAAUACCUGCAUCGUCUGACUUCCUCCACCAGCCUCAGAAACUCUGCUACUGGGCUCAAUGUUGGUUACCAAAGAGACGGUUGGUUACCGUCCUCAUUCACGGAAAAAAAAAAAAAGCUCAUCUUUGUUUUCCCCACUACGCAUUUGAAAACUGUUGGAAAGAACGAUUUUAAUCCCUCAAAAAUGUGUGGCAUGGAGUUGUCAUCCUUAAACUCAGGAGGAAUCCCUCGCCUUAACCCUUCUAGAUUUUUCUAUGUUCUUCCUGCAGUUCUCACAUUCAAAUCAAAGUACAGAGCCAUGCAGAACCAUGCAACUCCAAACUUGGAGGGCGGUGAUGGUUGAGAAUCGAAUACAAACUUUCCCUGAAAGAUUGUACACUUCCUAGUGGUAUGAGUUCAGGGUGGUAAGUAGUGCUAAUCUUCCCCAUGUGCCUCACAGAUAAAUCUCUGACAGACUUAGGUUUUUGGUCCUCCUCUUAUCUCCCCCCUACCCCAUCCUCUCCCUCCAGCUACUUUCAUGAUAGCUCCUGUAAAAGAAGGGAUGUGGCUCUCUCUGCUCUCUCUAUAGCAUGUAUGAACCCAGGUCAAAGCGGAGUUAUGAUCUGGUACUUUCAUUUCAGGAAUUACAUCCUUCAUAUACACCAUGAGAUAUUUGAAGAAAUAUUUGUACACUUGUGUUCACUGCAGCAAGAUUGACAAUGGCCGAGAGGCUGAAGGCACCCAACUGGCCAUCAGCAGAUGAUGCAUAAGUAAUACAUGCCGUGUAGACAACGGUGUGUGUUUUGUCCUUAAAAACACCAAAGAACUGACAUAACAACACGGAAGAAAGUCAGCUACUUAUGAAGGACAGUACAGCAGGGAAUAAAUUCAUCCUUGUAAUGGAUCCCAGGUUCCUGUGGUAGAUCUGGCGAGGGUGGAGACAUUGAGCAUAAGGCCGGAGAUUUUGCUGAAAACCAGUUGAUCUACGUGGGGAGAAUGUACUCUGAUCAGACAUCUUUGAAUUCAUCCAGGAAACCAAUGGACGGACAAGUCAUGCUCUGAAUGAGUCACUUUUAAUUUGCUGAGAUAAAACAAUAUGCCCAAUGCAAUGUACCAAAAGAUGGCCUUAUCUGGCCCUUGUGGUUUCAGAGUGUUAGAGUCUAUGAUGGCGGAGCAGAGGAGGCAGGGGGAAGACUGCAAUAGCUGACAGAACCACAAUCAGGAGAGAGAGGCACACAGGGGAUGGCUGGAGGGUUUUCAGUCCUCAAGAAUACCUGCCACGACAUCUCAGAACCGUGCCUAAGAUUUAUGGGGGCCAUAUCAUUUAAACCACUACACUCUGCAGAGGGUAAUUCCAAACUAAGUGGAUCCUAGAGGUCAGCAUCUAACAAGAUCUUAAGGAUUUGUUUUCUAGGAAAGUGAGCACGCUGUUGCCAUGCAUUAUGAGUCACUUCUUCUGCCUCCGUCAGCUUCAUUUGUGCAUGUAUAAACGCCUCUAAACUGAUGUGUCUUUGUGGCUACUUCUUAAUUAUAGCAAAGGGAUUCAUACAGACAACUUAGGAUCUACUGGGAGAGAACUCUAUUAGAUGACUCAUCUCUGAAGCAAGGAGAAAGAAAAGCAAAAAGGAAUACAGACUAAGGAUAUGGAGGACUGCAAUGUAGCCCUGGCCUCUCAAGACCUCUAGGCAGGGACAACUCUAUUAGAUGAUCCAUCCCUGAAGAAAAUGAGAACGAGAAGCAAAAAGAAAUACAGACUAAGGAUGUGGAGGACUGCAAUGUAGCCCCAGUCUCUCAAGACCUCUAGGCAGGGACACUUCUGCACACAUUGCCUGAUCUUAGCAGCUGUCCAUAAUCCUGGAGGAAAAUUCUACAGCUCCUUGAUGGCCCAAGGGCCAUAACCAUGCAGACAACAUGGCCAAGAUCAGCCGCUCACUUAGGAUGAAGCCUGGCCUCCUUGAAACACAUUUAUAUAACCUUAGAUUUGUUGUUGCUUUUAGGGGCAGAAAAUGCGUUAAGCCUCACCUUCCCCAAGCACAGAAAGCAAAAGUUAGUCAGGGAAUAAAGCCCUUUGCUUUUUCUAACAUCAGACUCUCUGUUCGGAAGAUUCCUCCCACCCUAUCUUUUUGAUGAGCCAUGUGAUUUUCUCAGACUUAA